This 448-nucleotide ribosomal RNA is filed under the name uncultured organism. RNAcentral's name for it is "partial 16S ribosomal RNA". It matches the Rfam family "Bacterial small subunit ribosomal RNA", at positions 331 to 796 of the family's 1533-position model. The record is from RNAcentral.
GUACACUCCUGCGGGAGGCAGCAGUGGGGAAUAUUGGACAAUGGGCGCAAGCCUGAUCCAGCCAUGCCGCGUGAGUGAUGAAGGCCCUAGGGUUGUAAAGCUCUUUCACCGGAGAAGAUAAUGACGGUAUCCGGAGAAGAAGCCCCGGCUAACUUCGUGCCAGCAGCCGCGGUAAUACGAAGGGGGCUAGCGUUGUUCGGAAUUACUGGGCGUAAAGCGCACGUAGGCGGAUCGAUCAGUCAGGGGUGAAAUCCCAGGGCUCAACCCUGGAACUGCCUUUGAUACUGUCGAUCUGGAGUAUGGAAGAGGUGAGUGGAAUUCCGAGUGUAGAGGUGAAAUUCGUAGAUAUUCGGAGGAACACCAGUGGCGAAGGCGGCUCACUGGUCCAUUACUGACGCUGAGGUGCGAAAGCGUGGGGAGCAAACAGGAUUAGAUACCCCUGUAGUCC